AAACGCGAUCGACGACGAGACCGAUGACCAUGUUGUGGACCUCUGCGACCACGAUCGCGCUGCGUUCGUUGGUGACGGUCGAUUUCAUGCCGAGCUUGUGGGCGAGGUCGAUGAUCGGGAUCACC
Molecule: small RNA, 125 nt
Filed under: Sinorhizobium meliloti 2011
Lineage: Bacteria; Pseudomonadati; Pseudomonadota; Alphaproteobacteria; Hyphomicrobiales; Rhizobiaceae
Description: putative ncRNA
Source: RNAcentral